RNAcentral lists this ribosomal RNA (426 nucleotides) under uncultured bacterium. RNAcentral's name for it is "bacterial SSU rRNA". It matches the Rfam family "Bacterial small subunit ribosomal RNA", at positions 359 to 776 of the family's 1533-position model. The record is from RNAcentral.
GAAUUGUUCGCAAUGGGCGCAAGCCUGACGACGCAACGCCGCGUGGAGGAUGAAGAUCUUCGGGUCGUAAACUCCUUUCGAUCGAGACGAAUAGCUUCCGGGUGAACAGUCCGGGAGAAUGACGGUACCGAGAGAAGAAGCCCCGGCCAACUCCGUGCCAGCAGCCGCGGUAAUACGGGGGGGGCAAGCGUUGUUCGGAAUUACUGGGGGUAAAGGGCUCGUAGGCGGCCAACUAAGUCAGACGUGAAAUCCCUCGGCUUAACUGGGGAACUGCAUCUGAUACUGGAUGGCUUGAGAUUGGGAGAGGGAUGCGGAAUUCCAGGUGUAGCGGUGAAAUGCGUAGAUAUCUGGAGGAACACCGGUGGCGAAGGCGGCAUCCUGGACCAACACUGACGCUGAGGAGCGAAAGCCAGGGGAGCAAACGGG